Molecule: non-coding RNA, 841 nt
Organism: Podarcis lilfordi (Lilford's wall lizard)
Lineage: Eukaryota; Metazoa; Chordata; Lepidosauria; Squamata; Lacertidae
Source: the annotation of a GenBank genome assembly
CACAGCGCCACCCGCAUCGCUCCCUUGUGGAUUGCAUAUCCUCAAAAGUCUCCCGGUUUUCCAGGGACAGUCCUGGAAUUACAGAAGCCAUCUUGGUUUCUAAUUUGAUCCCAGAAUGUCCCAGUUUUCCUUUUUCCUCCACCUCUUAGAGAAGAAUUAAAAGUGGUGUGUGUGUGUGUGAGAGAGAGAGAGAGUGAGCGAUUGGGUACAAAAACAGUCCUGUUUAUACUGAAAAUAAAAACCAAAUGAAGGAAACAUUGAAGCUGGCAUACAAAGCCCUAUAAUUUUGAAGGAAGAUGUCACCAAUCCCCUUGAAAUUCUAUCAUUGCAGUGCUUCAUAUGUUACAACAAUGGCGGAUUUUUGCAUUUUUAUUGCAGGCCGACUAUGCAUGGCUUGUAACAUUUGAAGGACGACUGCGGGCUGCUUCACACUCGUGUCCCAUCAGGCAUAAAGGCAGGAAAUAAACGAAUAAAUAACACUUGAUCACUCUACACUGAUCUGUUUUUACACAUGCACGCCCAUCCCUGGAUGAGUGCAUCCUCACCACAGAAUGUGCGCCAUGCCUUACAUCGUGUUAAGGACAAUUAAAAAAUAAAGGUGGGGAGAAGCUAUUGAAAUGUGCAAAAAAAGUUUAAAAUAGAUAUUUUUGACUUGCUUUGGAGACACAGAAAUCUGCCUUUUGCUGUGAUGCGUGAAGUUGCAGUAAGACAGCAAAACGGCUACAAACAGAAUACUUGGGGCAUGUUUAUCCCCAUUCCUAAUCAAGAUUAAAGUAUAAUCCUAUAAGGUAAAGAAAGAAAAAGGUAAAGGACCCUUGGAUGGUUAAUUCCAGGUAAAGGC